Molecule: long non-coding RNA, 9053 nt
Organism: Sparus aurata (gilthead seabream)
Lineage: Eukaryota; Metazoa; Chordata; Actinopteri; Spariformes; Sparidae
Source: Ensembl
UGUGUAUAUAUGUAUAUGUAUAUAUGUCUAUGUAUGUAUGUAUGUAUGUGUAUAUAUAUAUAUGUAAAUAUCCAUAAGGAUAAUCAUAAAACUUAGCUCUUUAUUCAAACGUUUAACUAGACUUUACAGUGUUACAGUCUGGAAAUAAAGCAGGGAUCACAGCCUGAUCUGAAUCUGUUCAUCUUGGUCCAUUUAUGUAAAACGAGUCUGUAACAUCUCCACAGUAACAAUAAGAUAUAAGUCAACCUCUGAAAGUCUAACGUUUGAAAGUGAAGCUUUUAACGCUUUACUUCCAAAGGCAUCAAGCUGAGAAUUACCAACGUAUUUUACCUCGAAAUAUAUGACUAUGUUUUACUGUAUAUACUAUAUAUACCUUCCUUCCAAGCAGAGAGAUAUUUUGCAAAUAUUACUGCAAAAGUGGGUCCUCAGUUAUUAGUAUACAGAGAAAAUGGACUGAUUCACUCGUGAUAUUAACCCUCCACCUCCGCCAAUAGUAGCUCAGACAUUUCAAACUAAGAUAAAACUUUAUCUACAAAACAGAUCAAAGUGAGCCACAAGUCCACAUCUGAACAGCAUUUUAGAAAGAAAAAGAGUGGCGUGGUGUAAUUGUGCACUAUAACAGCAAUGUAACAGAUACAGGAAGUACAGUGGGUUACAAACCACAAAUUGACUAUUACCUGGAAAAAAGCUAAAAGCUUUCAAAACAUGUGCAGAUUUAACGGAACACAAAGCAGGAUGAUGUACAAACCUUGAGGCAAGUUCAGAAAAGUGAAGGAAUUCCACAACAUCGCUGACACAGUGGAGCAGCCAAUCAGUGCAGUCGUUAACGUUUCAGCCAAUCAGAGCAGACCCAUCUCCUCUGCACUUGAAGGGCGGAAGAGAGCUAGGAUUAGAAGGAAUCAUGGACGGAGGUGGAAUAACAAGCAGUCAGGAACCUGAAGAGGAGCCUCAGACAGCAGGACCACAGCAGCAGGUCUCGUCUGACUGCAGCCCUCCAAGCAAGCAGUGUAAGAGGACCAAGCACAAAUGUCCCAUUUGUGGGCAACUGUAUGCUGACAUUAUCCAGCACCUGAGAAGCACGGAAAAGGUGGUCAAUAAAACAGAGCUCCUUCUUCUGAGCAAGACUUCUCAUCGACAUUUUAGGACAAAUCUGGACUGCCCAGUGCAUCUCUGCAAGUCCAAACAUAUAAACCGACUAGACAAGCAUCUGCAAAAGAUCCACCAUCUGAAGAACCCAAUGGUAAGCCUUUAUAUAGAAAAAGCUAAGGACAGGUACAUCGCGAGAGAACUGGCCCUCCUACGUGCGUCGAAACCCGUACCACCAAUGGUGUCUCAUCUGGACGAGGUCGAUGCUUCAGCCAUAGAAGAGGGUGUCAGGAGGGUGAUAGAGGCCAGAUCACAAGCUGCAGCGUCUGCCACUGUGCCUCCUCUUUCGGGCCCCCUCCGCAGUUCUCCCCCUGCCAGCCAGGCUUCCUGUGACCCAGAUAGACAAGCUCCAUCAACCAGCCAGGUUUGUGACCCAGAAACUGUACCAGCUGUGCAGGAUCCUUGCCAACAGGCCAAGCGAGGAAGAAGGCACUCUGUCGUGAGCACCCCUGAUCCUGGGUGCAGGAACUGCCAGCUUCUGUCUGCUGAGCUAAAGGUGGUGAAGGACCUGCUGGAGAUCGAAAUUGAAAGAAACGAUGAGCUGAAGCAGCUCCAUUGUUCCACAAUGCGUGCAACUGCAGCAAAACAUCGCAGACGUGCACCAUUUGACCCCAGCAAAGCCCCUCGCUAUGUAAGUUUGGUCGAGGAAUUUAGGAGCCACACAGAAGGUGCCAAUCCCAGUAGAAAAACUUCGGACAAUGCCAAGCAGCGAGGCAAACAUGUAAUCGAUUUUCUAAAGUACAUGGCAGAGCCAGGAUCCCCAAGUGUUGACCUUCUCUUCCUGCGUGACCAUGCUAGAGUCCGUGGUUUUGUUGAAGUCCUUCAGGGAAAAAGAUUUACACCAACCACUCAGAGGAGUUAUUUAAUGGAUGUUGUGGCCUUUUUGAAAUAUAUUUCAAACAUGGCCCCACUAGCCGUCAGAUUAGGAACGAAAAGAAUCAACUGCAUCCUGGUGGAGCUGAGGGCCCGGCUCAAAGACAUUGGCCGGGAUAUUGUCAGCCACCAGCUAAGUGUGAGGCGAAGGAAAUCUGAGAGACUGGUCAAGGCAAAGACACAUUCAAGGUUUAUGCAUGAGGCCCCUAAGAGGAUAACUGCAGCACUGGUUGAGCUUGAGAAGCAUCCAGAGGACAGAGGAUCUCUUAAAGAGUUUUUUGGACUGCUGGCUGGGUACAUAAUUUCCACAACAGGCCACCGAAAGGGUGUUGUUGUUAACAUGACAACAAAGGAGGUCAAUGAGGCUGAAAAAACUACGCAGGGUGCCCGCAUCAUCCGUGUUGGACAGCACAAGACUCAGAGACACUUUGGUGAAGCAGCUGUACCCCUCAAUCCAAGUGAGUAUUCCUGGCUGCAGCGUUACAACCUGCUUCGACACAGCAUCGAAGGAGGCAAAGAGGCUUCAACCUUCUUUCACACGACCAGUGGAGGCGUUCUGCUGAGGCUGUCUGAAUAUUUCAAGGAGGCCUGGAAGCGGAUGGGCUUGGGGACACCCCCAACUUUCAACAUGCUUCGCUCCUCUGUUGCCACUUAUGCCAAGCGACACUUAGGAGACAGCGCAUACAAGAAGGUGGCAACAUUCAUGUGUCAUGAUGCCUCUACGGCCAAGAGAUUUUAUCACGCGGAGGACCCAGCAGAGGUCACGCUCAAAAGCAGAGAGUUGUCAAUGAUGGCAAUUUCCUCAUAUGCUGCGAAUGAGGGUAAUGCAGAACCGGAUCCUGAAGAGGACGAGGAAAAUGUGCCAAAAAGGACUUACCAGCUGCGUGAGAGAAGGACAUCUGAUGGGACAGAUAAACAGGAGGUCGAGUUCCCUUUCCAAAAAAGAGAGUGGUUGAGUUCUUCUGAGGGUGAUGGCUCUGCAGAUGAAUGGAAACCCACACAGAAGGAAUUUGAGGAUGAUUCUGAAGAAGAGGAGGAACAGGUCAUACAAAGCGUUCACACGGUGGCCAAAAGAAAGAGAUCUGUCCUGCAAAGAGAAGAAGAGUGCUCCUCUGGUCAGAAAACUACACAGGCGGAAUCGGAGGAGGAUUCUGAAGAAGAGGAGGAACAGGUCACACGAAGGGUUCACAAGAUGGCCAAAAGAAAGAGGUCUGAGAGCCCUGUCUGGCAAAGAGAGAUGCAGCCGGCUUUUGUAAGCCCAGGAACAGCAAAGAUGUUGACAACGCACUCAAAAAAAGUCAAUAUUGGGAAGAUUAUUUUCCACAAGUCACCCCUCUAUGAUGUCACCAUGCCAAUAUCUGGUGACAUCAUCAAACACCAGGCGGGAUCCACAGUCGGACAGAUGAUUCCCUUAGGAUCCGUGGGAGAAACAGUCUCCAAAGAGUUGCUGUUGGAGAAUGAAAUUUCAGUGGCAGACACAACAUUCGACAAGAACCUGUCUGAAGAAAGGGCGGGAGAAUAUAAAGGACAAGAAAAAGAAGGUGAAGUGGAUGAGGGCUCUUUAGAGAAGUCAAAGACUGAAGGUGAAGACAAAAAUAAGACAGAAAAUAAGAUAAAAGAAGGACGAAAUACAGAGAAAGAGACACAGGAAGACUCUUUUGAGAAAAUAGAGAGUAAGAGUGAAAAAAUAAAGAAGAGCGAAACAAAGAUUCAAGAGGAGUCCUUGGAGAAGAUGGAGAGUAAGAAUGAAAAUGGAGAGAAGAGAGAAACAAAGAUUCAAGAGAAGUCUUUGGAGAAGAUGGAGAGUAAGAGUGAAAGGGGAAAGAAGAGAGAAACAAGGAUUCAAGAGAAGUCUUUGGAGAAGAUGGAGAGUAAGAGUGAAAAGGGAAAGAAGAGAGAACCAAAGAUUCGAGAAGCUCCUUUGGUGAUGACGAGUAGUAAAGUUAAAAGGAGAUUCAGGAGUAGAGCAAAGAAAGAUGAGAAGCAUGUGGUGAUGAUGAGGAGUAGGGCUAAAGAAUUGCAAAGGAGAAAGCUAAAAGAGGAGCAUUUGGAGACGAGUGAGAGGGAAAGUGAAGAAGGAUCAAGUGGAACAGCACAAACCUGGAAGUCUUUGGAGAAGAUAGAGGGUAAGAGUGAAAAGGGAAACAAAAUAGAAACAAAGAUUCAAGAGAAGUCUUCGGAGAAGAUGGAGUGUAAGAGUAAAAAAGGAAAGAAGAGAGAAACAAAGAUUAAAGCGGAGUCUCUGGAGAAGAUGGAGAGUAAGACUGAAAAAGGAAAGAAGAGAGAAACAAAGAUUAAAGCGGAGUCUCUGGAGAAGAUGGAGAGUAAGACUGAAAAAGGAAAGAAGAGAGAAACAAAGAUUCAAAAGGAGCCUUUGGAGAAGAUGGAGAGCAAGACUGAAAAAGGAAAGAAGAGAGAAACAAAGAUUCAAAAGGAGCCUUUGGAGAAGAUGGAGAGUAAGACUGAAAAAGGAAAGAAGAGAGAAACAAAGAUUCAAAAGGAGCCUUUGGAGAAGAUGGAGAGUAAGACUGAAAAAGGAAAGAAGAGAGAAACAAAGAUUCAAAAGGAGCCUUUGGAGAAGAUGGAGAGUAAGACUGAAAAAGGAAAGAAGAGCGAAACAAAGAUUCAAAAGGAGCCUUUGGAGAAGAUGGAGAGUAAGACUGAAAAAGGAAAGAAGAGAGAAACAAAGAUUCUAAAGGAGCCUUUGGAGAAGAUGGAGAGUAAGACUGAAAAAGGAAAGAAGAGAGAAACAAAGAUUCAAAAGGAGCCUUUGGAGAAGAUGGAGAGUAAGAGUAAAAAAGGAAAGAAGAGAGAAACAAAGAUUAAAGCGGAGUCUCUGGAGAAGAUGGAGAGUAAGACUGAAAAAGGAAAGAAGAGAGAAACAAAGAUUCAAAAGGAGCCUUUGGAGAAGAUGGAGAGUAAGACUGAAAAAGGAAAGAAGAGAGAAACAAAGAUUCAAAAGGAGCCUUUGGAGAAGAUGGAGAGUAAGAGUGAAAGGGGAAAGAAGAGAGAAACAAAGAUUCAAGAGAAGUCUUUGGAGAAGAUGAUGAGUAAGAGUGAAAAGGGAAAGAAGAGAGAACCAAAGAUUCAAGAAGCUCCUUUGGUGAUGACAAGUAGUAAAGUUGAAAGGAGAUUCAGGAGAAGAGCAAAGAAAGAUGAGGACCAUGUGGUGAUGAUGAGGAGUAGGGCUUAAAGAAUUGCAAAGGAGAAGGCUAAAAGAGGAGGAUUUGGAGACGAGUGAGAGGAAAAGUGAAGAAGGAUCAAGUGGAACAGCACAAACCUGGAAGAUGCACUUUAAGAAAAGGAAAUUUCAAGAAUGACUGGAAGAAAGGAGAAAGCUGGAGGAAAUGGAAACUGAUCGAAACCUUUAGAAAAGGGGAAAAUUAAGCAUGUGCAUUAAAAUGUUCAGUUCAGAGUUCCUUGAAUUUGAUGUGAUCUAUAGAACUGGUCAACUUGCAAAAUAGUGGAAUUUGUUUUUCCCAAAGUCAUGAGUCCAGUAAUCCUAGCAUUCAAAUGUGUACAGGGUUUAGCUAAAGAGUUUUUUUGUAUCUAUUUUUCUAUAUUUGUCUGCUUUCCUAAUCGUGAAAAGCUUCACAGUAAAGAUUGGUCCAAAAGCCGUAUACUGUGUGUUCUGUGUUCAACAGUUCAGAAGAGUAAGGUAGUUUUUAUAUACUCCCACCAGUGAUGCAGGGAAGUAAACAUGUUGUUUUAUUUUUCAAAAUUUGCUCCAAUCAUGACCAGUCUUGACCCCAGGAAAGGGGGUAAACAUUUGUUGUUGUUCUCUUGGAUUACAGACCACUUUCUCAGUAUAGUAACACUAAAACAACUCCAACUCCAACUCCUACACCAGAGAUGCUCCUAUCUGGAAUCCAGAGAAUCCGCCUUGUAUUUCGAUUGUUAGUUCUUUCCAGGUGCUUGGGGGGUUAUGAGGAUCCCCAGUGCAGGGCCCUUGUUUGUCCUGGCCAUUCACAAGGCCAUUAAAUGCAUCUUCAUCCAACCUUACUCUAGAGAUACUGAGGGCCACCUGUUGGGGGGAGGAGCAUGACAUUUUGGAGAGGUUAAGCAUGACUCAAAAGUUUCAAGGGUCGUGAGAAGAGUAGUUGGGUUUUACAUCUAUUUAAUUUGAGGCUUAUUGUCAAAGACUUGAUCUGUUGCUCCUGUGUCCUCAUUUGGAUCCUGAAGCAGUAGGAAAUUUACAUUUUAACCAUGGUGGCUCAAUGCUGUAAAGAUCAAUAUAUAAUAAAUGUGUUUAUAUAUUAUAUUCAGUUACAUGAUCUGUAUCACUGUGUGCUCCUCGUUUGCUCCUCCCCUGAGUGGGACAGAGAAGUUAUGUGGGGAGGAGCGCAGCCCAGCUGCACGGUGCUCAUUAGAUAUGCAAAUGUAGCAUGACUACAUGAGGUCCUAAGUUAGCAUGAGGUCCUAAGUUAUUUCUAAAGCUACUUCCAGUAUGUUAGUCGCAGUCAACAUGCUUCCUGGAUAACAUGGUUGUAGACAUCUCAGGGAUCUCCUGGUUCAAGUUUCAGGUCUCUGUCUGCUUAGACCAAAUUAGUUCAAAAGGGAAGGCCUCAGUCAAGGUCAAAGGUCAUUGGAGACCACCCUCUCAGUAUAUACAUUUAAAAAAAAAAAAACAUCCUCUGCAACUUUGUCCCUUUGACAUAAAAAUGCACCGGCUGAUUCAUGAGCCCUCCAGGUCCUGGUACAUAAAAAGCUGAAAUUCACAGGACAUGGUCCUUGGGGGGGCCUAGAUCAUUUGUACACAUUUUGGUGGAUGAAGCAGCAAGGCUUGAUCAAGUGGCAGACUUUGCAAGUGUAUGACUGAGGCCUGUUCAGCCAAAUGUGGCUGAAUCGACUCACUGUCACAUUUGCUGUAAAGCAGAGGUCUAACUAGCUAAACAUUAGGACCCCUAAAUUGUCUGUCUGUCCCAACAGGAAGUGACCUAAUUUUGACCCCAAACUUCAGGAGGUCAUUUAGACCACCUUCUCAGUAUAUAAAGGCUAUAGCACCCAACAUACACCCUUAAGAUUCUUUAAUAAAGGUUAGAACCUCUGAACCAAGGUUAUAUUAAACCUGCUGGUCUUCAAUGGAAUAACAUUCUGCAGAAGUGAGGGCUUUUACUGCUGAGUUUUUACAGUAUCUCUAAUGACCAUGGCUCGUGUGCGUUUCUGUCAGCCGAGUACACCAACAAGUACAUCUCCAUCACUCAGGGUGAGUGACCUGAUCCCACAGGAUGUUUACUUAUGUACUCACCAAAAUAGGAGACUUAACAGACUGCUGACAGAGUGACUGCAGUCUGAAUGUGUUUCAGUUGAGAGCCACCAGACCUGAGUUGUUUACACUACCUCUGAGCCCUUAUGAGUCAACCCAGGGUAAGUCAGCCAACCUCUGACCCUGCUGUCGUCAGUGAGAGGGGGAGUGAAUGGGGAGUGAUUUACUUGCAAGUUUUUUUCUAUCAUAUAAGAGAAUGGUCACAUGCCCUACGUGAGUGUUUCACUUUUGUGUUGCUGCAGAAGAAACAUUAAAGAUGGAGUCACAAAGGUUUUAGUUUACUGUUCUGUUCCAAAUAGUAAAAUAAAGUUAGGACAUUUCAGAAUCAUAGAUUAAUGUUUUGAAAUUGUAAAUCUUCUUCUUUCACAUCGCUGUGUGCCUGACUCUCUUCAAAUAUGAGAUCAGAAUCAGAAUUCCUUUAAUGUCCCGUAGACCGGGAAAUGUGUAUGUUGCAACAGCAGAAUAUUACAAGACAGAGAAAUAGAAAAAUAGACAAAAAAAUGAUAAUUUUAUAUACAGAUUUUAUGUAAAGGUAAUAAAUAUGGGUGAUGAAAUGAGUUUGUACAGACUUAUUGCACAGUGCAGAGCAUGGGGUGAGGUCGAUAUGGAGCAGUGCUGGUUGUUAAGUCUGACAGCAGCAGGAAGGAAGGACCUGCGAUACCUCUCCUUCACACACUUGGGGUGUAUCAGUCUGUUGCUGAAGGAGCUGCCCAGUGCUGAGAUAGAGACCUGCAGGGGAUGGGACUCCUGCAUCAGCAGCGAUGACAGCUUGUCCAUCAUCCUGCUCUCUCCCACCACCUGCACUGGGUCAAGAGGGUAUCCCAGGAUGAAGCUGGCCUUCUUGAUAAGUUUAUCAAGUCUCCUCCUGUCUGCUGCUGAGAUGCUGCUGCUCCAGCAGACUACUCCAUAGAAAAUGGCUGAUGCCACCACAGAGUCAUAGAAAGAGGUCAGGAGUGCCCCCUGCACUCCAAAGGACCUGAGCUUCCUCAGCAGAUACAGUCUGCUCUGACCUUUCUUGUAUGUAGCUGCAGUGUGAUCAGUCCAGUCCAGUUUAUUGUUCAGGUGAACUCCCAGGUACUUGUAAGAUGUCACCAUCUCAAUGUCUGUUCCCAGGAUGUUCACCUUUGUGCAGGGUUGUCUGUGCCUGCGCAAAUCCACCACCAGCUCUUUGGUCUUCCCGGCGUUGAGCUGGAGAUGGUUCUGCUGGCACCAGUCCACAAAGUCCUUGAUGAGUUCUCUGUAGGCUCUGUCGUCCCCGUCCCUGAUGAUGCUGUAAGAAUACAUCAUUCUUAGAAUAUUAUAGCAUAUGCUUGUGCAUGUCUCUGUGUGUUUGAGGUUGUGUGUCUCUACGGAUGCAGGUCAAUUUGAUCCAGAGACCUGAAGGAUGUAAAUGUGCAGGGUAUGUGUGCUCAGACUUUUAUUUUAUUUGUUUCUUAUUCAUUUAUUUAUUUAUUUUGCAAUGUUUAUCACAGAAUAUAAUCUAAGGCCAUUGAGUUUCAGGUUGAAAGAAAUUAUACUAGUACCAUUUUUCUUGUGAAACACCAUACAAUAGUUAGCUAUCUUUGCCUCAGCCUCUGGCCAUCCAAACAGUAUAAGCGAUGGUAAAAACUCCUCUCCUGUGGAACCCACACUGUCCCAAGGCACCCACAAGGAGUGAGAAGAGACAGAAAGAUCGAAAGGGGGGACAGAGAGGUGGACGGGCAGACCAGGAGCAGCAAAAUGAAAUAAAAACCUCACUUUUCUGAUAGUCCGGUAACAGGUCUGAACA